GACCGCGUAGCUCAGUUGGAAGAGCAUUGGGCUAGUAUUCCAAAGGUCAUUGGUUCGAUUCCCAUCGUGGUCA
This 73-nucleotide transfer RNA is filed under the name Paramuricea clavata. It matches the Rfam family "tRNA". Rfam says of the family: Transfer RNA (tRNA) molecules are approximately 80 nucleotides in length. Their secondary structure includes four short double-helical elements and three loops (D, anti-codon, and T loops). Further hydrogen bonds mediate the characteristic L-shaped molecular structure. tRNAs have two regions of fundamental functional importance: the anti-codon, which is responsible for specific mRNA codon recognition, and the 3' end, to which the tRNAs corresponding amino acid is attached (by aminoacyl-tRNA synthetases). tRNAs cope with the degeneracy of the genetic code in two manners: having more than one tRNA (with a specific anti-codon) for a particular amino acid; and 'wobble' base-pairing, i.e. permitting non-standard base-pairing at the 3rd anti-codon position. The record is from Rfam by way of RNAcentral. Lineage: Eukaryota; Metazoa; Cnidaria; Anthozoa; Malacalcyonacea; Plexauridae.